GAGUUUGAUUAUGGCUCAGAACGAACGCUGGCGGCGCGCCUAAUACAUGCAAGUCGAGCGAGAAGGUGUAGCAAUACACUUGUAAAGCGGCGAACGGGUGAGGAAUACAUGGGUAAUCUACCAUCGAGUGGGGAAUAACCAGCCGAAAGGUUGGCUAAUACCGCGUACGCCUCCGGAUCUUCGGGUUCGGAGGGAAAGCCACACUGUGAGUGCGGCGCUCUUUGAUGAGCUCAUGUCCUAUCAGCUUGUUGGUAGGGUAACGGCCUACCAAGGCUUUGACGGGUAGCUGGUCUGAGAGGACGAUCAGCCACACUGGCACUGCGACACGGGCCAGACUCCUACGGGAGGCAGCAGUAAGGAAUAUUGCGCAAUGGGCGAAAGCCUGACGCAGCGACGCCGCGUGGGGGAUGAAGGUCUUCGGAUUGUAAACCCCUUUCGGGAGGGAAGAUGGAGCGAGCAAUCGUUCGGACGGUACCUCCAGAAGCAGCCACGGCCAACUUCGUGCCAGCAGCCGCGGUAAUACGAAGGUGGCAAGCGUUGUUCGGAUUCACUGGGCGUACAGGGUGUGUAGGCGGUUUGGUAAGCCUUCUGUUAAAGCUUCGGGCCCAACCCGGAAAGCGCAGAGGGUACUGCCAGGCUAGAGGGUGGGAGAGGAGCGCGGAAUUCCCGGUGUAGCGGUGAAAUGCGUAGAGAUCGGGAGGAAGGCCGGUGGCGAAGGCGGCGCUCUGGAACAUACCUGACGCUGAGACACGAAAGCGUGGGGAGCAAACAGGAUUAGAUACCCUGGUAGUCCACGCCCUAAACUAUGGAUACUAAGUGUCGGCGGGUUACCGCCGGUGCCGCAGCUAACGCAUUAAGUAUCCCGCCUGGGAAGUACGGCCGCAAGGUUGAAACUCAAAUGAAUUGACGGGG
Molecule: ribosomal RNA, 912 nt
Filed under: uncultured Nitrospirota bacterium
Lineage: Bacteria; Pseudomonadati; Nitrospirota
Description: bacterial SSU rRNA
Rfam family: Bacterial small subunit ribosomal RNA
Source: RNAcentral